UGCUGAGGAGAGAAGAAGGAUGAAAGAAUGGUGGAUUCACCGGCGCUGAAGGCUGCUGAUCUCCUCUUACCUGUUGUCCUCCUGCAGGUGCGUCCGGACAGCCCCUAUAUUCAGAGAGGCAACACCUCCAGAGGGAAGCGAUGGCGGGGAUGAAACAUCCUGCAGGGAUCAUUGUGCUGAUGGAUUACAAGGGGCAGGAAAAGAUAUGAGACUGUUUUCCUCCCCCCUGCAUGGCUGUCUUGGAGUGCAGCACCUGACUGCUGAGGGACACUUUACCUGCACGGAUCUUCUGGAUUAUUACCUGAGUGACACCUGGGUACACUGCUGAAGUGGAUUAUAGCAGGUCAGAAUUUUGGAAUGAUGGUACAUUUCUUUUUCUUUUUUUUUUUUUGCAAAUUGAUCUUAGCCUUAACCUGUUGACUCAGACAAAAAAAGAAAUAGAGUGUGAAUAACAGGUAAUUUACCUGUGAUGCUGUCAAAACGAAGAUCUGUCAUUUGCAUGAGAGCUUUAAUCGAAAGUUAACUUCUAUUUACUUCAGUUUAAUGUAACUGAGUGGCAGUCUUUCUUGAAAAUAAAAUGAUUAUUCUUUAUAACAUAUCAUUAAGCUGCACUUAAUUGUCAUGUGUCCUGGGCCUACAGAUUGUUUACAGUGAGGGGCUGUUACCUGAAGUACCUUCCUGCGAUUCCUCCACUGGUGAGUCCUGACAGUUUAAAUGACAGAUAUAUUAGUGUGUUUUUCUCCUCUUUGCCUGUGUCACUUUCUCACUAUCUCCGUUUCCAUCUCAACCCUUGAUGAAGUUGUUUCACAUCGUCUCUCUAAAACAGACUCUACCUCACUAAAACAUACUUAUUACUUUUAUCACGUGCCAUCUCAGGUGUCUGAGUGAAAUUGUCUGUUGACUUGUUUUUAUCUGGAUAAAAUGAACAAUUUCAUUCUGGCCUUUUGUCAUAAAGUGCCUCGUCUUUACAGGUGGGUACAUUCAUACGUUUGUCCUAACAAUUUUCAUCAAGUUUGCAACUAACUAGUAUUUAAAUCAGUAGGUGUGCUGCUGACUUUAAAAUAAAUGUAUUAGUAUUUGAAAUGUAUAAAAAGCUUUAAUAACUGCUGGCUUAAAUUCCCGAGAGCACAAAAUGAAAUCUUUGAAUUGCUUUAUUGGUCCAUCCAGCAGUCCAAAGGCUCUUCAAUUUACCAACAAAUCUGACAAGAAGCACCAAGUUCUCACGUCUACAAAUUUGAUACCAACAAGUGUUUAACGCCAGGCUUGAAAAAAAUACUUCAACAUUAUCAAAAUGGAUGAGUAAUUUCUUUCUCUUGACUACGUUUUCUUUGCUAGUGUUGAUAAUUUGCUUGCUUUUUCAUUCCACUGAGAGAGGGCCUCGACCGUGCAAGAAAAUCACCAGUAUUUGCUAUUUAUCAUAAAUCUAGAUGUAAGUACAAAUAGAGAAUAACUGUUAUGGGAUUUCGUCUGGUGAGAGUUACACAAGUUCUGUUACAGGUACAAGGUGAAGCUACAGGAUGCUGAAAUAUCAAUAUUUGACAGUUUUUGUUUAAGUAUUGGCAAGUUUUCUUGUAUGUCUGCUAACAAGGUGCAGUGCUGAUAUGACUCUUUUUUGGGGGGGGAAUGUAAAAUAAACAGUACUUUAAUUGCAUUAAAAUCAAUCUUGUUAUAACUUUCUGUGCUGUAUGCACCUAAAAUGAAGACAGAAUGCGACUAUAGUACAGCUUUUUUUACUUGUGUAGGUUCAACAAUUCACAUUAAAAUUAAAAUGUACUUGGAGGGCAUCUCAAAGUUGUCAAAUGGAAACUUACAGUAAUUCAUAAACUGGUACUGUCAGGAGGAUGGACAGACUGACAACAUAAUUAGACAAAACAACGCAGACGUAAAAAAACAAUCAAAAAACAAUUAAAACAGUGGAUGAAAUAAAAGCAGAAUUAAAAGUAAAAUAUAGUUUCAAUGUUUUUAAAAACUAAUUUAAAAACAUAGAAACAAAUAACUAAAAACAAACCAUAAAACACUAAAACAGGAGCGGAGUCUCAUGCAGGGUUAAAAGCCAAUGAAUAAAAAUGGGUUUUAAGACGAGUUUUAAAAAUGGACACCCAUCAGUUAUUAUAUAAAUACUUGAACCAUCUUUGGUAUAUUGUAUUUUGUAGGACUGUACAUCUUUACAGGUCUUAUGAUUCAAUUCAAAUAUGCUUAUGUUGUCACUGAUCAGUUUGGUUCAGUAUCAAAGUGUAACAUGACGUUGUAAUCCACACCUAUACAUACACACACAUGCACACGCUUUUUUGUGGUGCAGCCCACCAAGCUUCUUUCUGCUUUUUUUCCCUCACUUUGUAUAUUUACAUACAAACACAGUAAAGUUUAAGCAACAAUCAGAGCAUCAGGUGUGUGACUGUCACUAUGAGCAGGAGAAUUAGGGGGAGCGCAAGCAAGUGGAGAGAAACUUACAUGAUCACUGGGAAAAAAGUGAACACCAAGUCUAUCAUGGGCCUUAAAAUAGCUGUAUCCAUCCUGUAGGCCUUUGGUUUAAUAGCUACUUUACAGUCCAGAUUGCAGAUGCGGUGAUCAGUAAACACCAGCUAAAUGCCAAAUACAAGUAGAUUUGCGAUUAUGAGGGUGAUUUGUACCACAUUAUUCGUGUUAUAAAAGAAAGUAUACUUUUAACUGAGCUUUUACCUUUGUGUGGCUUAUAGCGUCAGUCAUUAGCUCCUCUGCUGUAUCUGCUUUUGGGAGCUGAAGUGGCACACACAAGCAGAAUGCAGUGUUUGCACGUACAAAGUCAGCAAUAAUCAAUUAGCUGUCCUUUAUCCGUCACUGCUAUAAUGCAGAGCCCCAUGUCUGCAAAAAUGGCUGAUUUCAACACCCCCACUAUGCCUGCAAACCUAAGAGCACCAAAAGCUGAUAAUGUCAUCUCUAAGUAAUCAAUCAGUAUAGUAUAUACAUAUAUAUCAGUAUAUAAGUAUAAUACAACUAAUCCACCAAUCUGUUAUAUAGAGUGGAAGGCUCUGUUUAGAAGACAGUGGGUAAUCAUAGUAACAGUGCUUUUACUUUAAGUUUUUAUGUAGUAACAUCAAGCACAAACUUCAACAACUUUUAAGGUAUGCUGUAAGUGGUUGACCCAUUUAUUAAAUGUCCACCAUCUGGGUCCUCAUCAUAAAUGAUUGACGAUAUGUAUCUAACUAGAAUAGUCCCUCUAAAAAGUAUGUCUAAUGUGUCGAACUGUGCUCUUAAUUCUCAUCCUAUGUGAUCCAGUGUUGUGAAUUCCUCACAAACCCUUUUAAAGUCAGUAAAGUUUCACAAAUUUCUUCCCACAAUGUCUGUCUUCAGGGAACAAUAAACAAGCAAAACCACAUUCAAACGAGCCAAUUUCUCUGCUGGCAUGUUGAAAUGUCAGAAUUUGCAGUGGAACAAAUAUACUAGUUAAUAUUCAGUUGGAACAAAAUGAGAAAUGAGCUAUCUUGGUGUUGCCACUCGCUAACAGGCAGAGCCUCAGUCUGUCUGGAGGGUUACACUCACUUAGUCACAUGACAUGCAUCGCUGCUUUGAUUGUUAGCAGCAGACAGCUCAACCCCCUGUUCCCCAGCACAGGUGUAGGUGUGGAGAGGAGAAGAUAGGGUUACACUGGCAUUUCAUUUUAUCUUUUUUUCUAAAUUUUUAAUUACAGUCAUAUUGUGCAUAAAUUUAAGCCUAUUGUACUCAAAAUUUCACCCCAAAAUUUUGCAUUUACAUCCAAAUACUGAAAAUCUUUCAAGUUUCUUCCUCAAUUUAAAUAAUCUUUUCAAAAAUAGGAAAGUAAUGUGUACAAGUUUGAACUAGGUUCUCAUUAUGAUAUCACACUAUUUAAAUAAAAGGCCUCCCAAAACAGUGUUUUAACCUUCAAGUCUCUUAUUAAUCUUAUCUUAUUAAAAAAAUACAUACUUGAAAAAAGCAUUAGCAUUAUCUACUGAGUGAUAUCUAACCAUGUUUUUAUUUUGAUAUGCAAGUUUUCCAACUGACAAGGAUACCAGAAGUAAACCUCUGUCUCAGAAUAAUUGUCAUAGUCAAAAAUAGAGCAAUAAAAGGAACAAAACAAGACAAAAAUGUAGAUGUGUGUGUAAUCAUCAGAUAUUCUGUCAAGGCCGGAAGUAUCAAAAUGAAUUUUAGCUGCAUCAUAUCAUUUUUUCUGUCUGCAGUGACACGGGUUAUUUGAAUUUGACCAUAGCAGCGUCCUCUCCUCUUUUAAAUCUCGUGGAUUAUUAAUCUUUGCCACCAUAGUAGUGUGUGUUGACCCGAACAGCUCCCUAAGGACUCUAUGAUAACUGGUAAUGGGCUGUUAAAGUAGUGAGAGGGGCCUCCACCGAUCAGCACAGGAUGGUCUGGUCCCACCACCAAUUACAGCUCAUUGAACAGGAGAGGCAGAGGGUUGAUUUCAUCAGUAAUCUAUGAGUGUGCACCUGCAUGUGUGUGCGCGCAUGUGUGUGUGUGAGCAAGCGUGCGUGUGCAUGCAUCUGUCAGUCAGGCUCCUCUUCCACCAUGCUAGCUGUGCACAGGCAGUCAUUAGCAGCAACAGCCCGUCAUUAAGCCUGUCAUUUCCUCUGUCUGCCAGCUGACCUACUGAUAUGGACAGCUUCUGUACUUAACCUAUGAACUCUGAUUUCCCCGCUCAUCACACAGACAGGUUGGUGUGUGUCUGUGUGUGCGUCCGAGUGUGUGUGUGUGUGCAUGUGUUUAUGGAUGCAGCAGGGCUUUGUUUUUAGAGAUUUGUGACAUUCAGAGCACAAUUGGUUUAUAAAAAGAUCGAAGAUGUACCGUGAUGCACAGUGUUUGUCUGAUUGUUCAUGCAGACAUUAUUAACUGUACUCGUUCACUGCAGUCAGAUGUCAUGUUUGUACUAAAUCUUUGAAACUGAGUCACUCCCUAAUUUUAAGUAUUGAUAUAUGUACAUUAAAGACAUCAUUGAUUGUUUUUUUAUUAAAGUAGCUGCUUUGCUGAGUUAUUAAAUGGAGUGUUUAGGCUUUCCAAUGAAUUUUUCAUUAUCGGAAAACUUGAUCACAAAACCGAGCUCGAGUAUGCAAUGAGGCUUCCUGGAUGUUUGUAAUGUGUUCAAUAGAAAAUUUUAAUUAUUAUGGCAUUUUGGCUUUUCUUUUAGCCAGAAACAGCGGUUUAGGAGGGUGAAAAUGCAAACUUUUGAAACUGGCUUUGUGUUGUGACAUUUCUCCACUCGCACAUGCAAAUAUUUAUACUCUCUAUGUGCAGGUGUGCUGUUGCUCUGCAGCGUUUGAUGACAAAGUUAUACUGUCAGGUUCUCGUCAAGCGUACUCCAGAGAUUUAUUAGUCAUGUUUAUGGAUCGAUGUGCAUGUGGAUCUUUUUCACAGCACUUUUUUUUAAGCAAAGAAAGACUUUUCUGUUUGUGAACGGGGCUUUUCCUGAGUAAAAAGGCUAAAAUAAAAAAAAUAAAGCUACUUGUAGAGCCUAUAAAUAUUCAGUUGCAUCAACUGAAAAUAUUUAUGUCAUGUAUUUUUUAUUUAGAUCUUUUGUUUUUUGGUUAUUCUUGUACCAAAGUGAUAUUUAGACCUGAGUGUCAGGCAGUUUUAUGUCUUAGGUGAAGAAAACAAGCGUGUGACAGUGAAGGUAAACAAUACAAUCUAUAAACAUUUGAACCAGGAGCAAUUUUUUUGUAAUUUUAUUUAAUAUUUAUAGAAGUUUCUCAAGAGAGGCUGUGCUGUUUUCCUCCUCAAACAGGCGAUGAUACACAUAGAAAUAGAUAGAAUCACAUUUGAAUUGGAACAGCUGUCAGAUAUGAAUUUUACAAGCCCAACCUGCGCCGCAAUACAGGGUCAAAAACCAUCAAAAUGUAAUUUCCCUUUGACUUGACAGGAAUGUUUUUUUACUGUCAUGUUCUCACAAAGGCAUCCCAAUUUCCUUCAAACUCCACAUGCUGCACAUUUACUUUGAUGCUCAGUUUUGUGUCUGUUUGCCUAUUCCUCUUUGAAUAUCCUCUGCAGAAAUAAUGUAUGUGUAAUGAGGCUUUAAACAGGUGUGUUCUGGUCCCCUUCAUUUAAAUAUCCACUAAUACCUCCUGACUUCUCCACUUCUGGGAUUAACCUCACGCUACUUUGUCUUAGCUGCAGCUCACUGUGGCUCUCUGGAAGCCUCGUAGCAGCGAUAGAAGCUGAAAUUAGGCAGCUUUCUGCCCCAAAGCUGCUGCAUUAAGACAGCCCUCACCUUGGCCUGCGGGAGCUGCGUUAGCCGUACGGCUAAUCCAAAAGCUAGCAAAGUCAAUCAGUCAGACCUUAAGCUAACUAAAGCUACCUCUGCUCUGCCUUGUCUUCAGGAGAUAAGGUAAUGAGGAUACAGAGGGGGUUAAGGUGAAAUUUGGUGGUGGUGUUCUGGAGUUUGAGGUGGUAACGGAUGACCAGUGAAUAUCGGGGUAAAUACAGCAGCUCUCAGGUAGAAGGAUGGAAUCAGAGUGGUAUUGUCUUACGAUGAUAAGGCAAUGAGAGGCUUACAGAGUUGUAUCAGUGGGCGAGGUUGGAGAGUCUCACACAGUAAUACCUGCUAUCUAGAUGUGACACCACAGCUUGGCCCCUGAGCGGGCUGGGUGGUGUUAAUAUUCCUCUUUUGUCUUGUCCUGAUAAGCUAAUGAGGGUUACAGUGAGAGGUGAUGAGAGUGUUAAGAGCUGCAUUAGUGGACCAAGAGGAACGAGGGACAGUGGAGCUGUUCAACAGCUUGGCAAGAAACUGUGGGAGCAAUCCCAGCUCCACUCGAUGGUCAGGAAUCAGGUGUUUUUUUAUGCUGAUAAGGAAGAGAGGGCAGGGUCAAAGUUAUGGGGGUACUGAAAUGAAAGAUUUACUUCUAGGGGAUUGUCAGAGAUUUUUGGCAACUGCCAAAUUUUAACUUUUAUCUCACUGAAAUCAGCCAGGGCUCAAAAAUUGUGAAGCAUCUGCCUUUGUAUUAAUCAUGAAAAAGGUUUGACUGUUGAACUAAAAUGAACAUGUGUCAGUCAUGCCGUACAGAAAAACAUACCUGUAUUUGAAUAUAACGAUACCUCAUGAGACAGUUGUAAACUGGUUUGCAUGAUGGUACAAGUUUGGAGAAAGAAAAAUACAAGUUGACUUGUAUUUCCCACGCACAGACAACACCUUAAGGGCCUUUUUUUGCCUGAUAUUGAGGUAUAUUUGCUGACCAUUAUUAGCAUCUUCUCUUUCUUUUUAUCCAGGAGAGAGAAAAACUGAGAGAGGGAGAGAAAGAGAUAUCAAGCUCCUUAAACAACAAAAGAGCUUUUACCUUUUUGAAGGGCUGCUACAUGAAACAUUUAUCACUGUUAAUCAUUUUGUCUACCUUUUCUUUUAUUUACCCCUGUCACUGAACAAUUCAGCCUAAUUGUCCUGUUAAAUUUUUUAAACUAAAAGCAUACCUAUCAAAACUGCACAGUAGCCAUUGACAUUUUAAGGAAACGUCCUAUGAAAAUUGAUCAGUGUGUUACUUACACCUAAUAAGAAAUGUAAAAAAAUCUCUAUUUUGAAUAAUUGUUUUAUAAGUUCUGUCUAUCCUUGCAAUUCCAUUUACUGCUUUACGCUUACAUUUUCUAUUUUGUUUUCAAAAUUUGUCCCAUAUCUUGUACUCCAAAACCUUUUGAAGCUUCUGUUAAAAAGAGUACAGACAUAGCAGCUGUUAUUGCUAAACUUCAGUAGCUUUAAGUGAAUUUGGAUGACUUUAUGAAACAAUCACAAUCUACAACAAUAUGGAUGCUGCAUUGAAGUGAAAGUUGAAUUACAGUAAUUGUAAUUACUUUUACACUGCAGCCAGACUCCCCUAAAAGUCAUCUGUUUAUAUGACCUGCUAGAGGUCUCAAACAUCCUUACAUCAUGCCUUCGUGAAGCAGACCUAAGGGUGCUGACCAAACUUUCUAAAGACAGCUCAUGUUUCUAUCAAGGAGUAAUAAAGCAGAUGGAUGGAGUUGGAGGUAGUUGCUGGUAUCUUAUAAUGUGCAAAAAGAGUUUGAUUUGACAUUCAAAACUUUGCAUUCUUUACUGUUUUGUUUCACUUUGAGCUUAUUAUAAUAAAAGCAAUCCUAUAAGCAUUUAUGAUAAAUAUUAAGCAACAGUUUUGUUAUACUGAUAAUCAUCUUUUGUGUGGGGUUACACUCAAAUGAGUGAUGAAAAACAAAAGACACAAGCUGUUUGAGUAUUUUGGUCAGGAGGGACUGCUUGUUACAAACACAUGUAGUUUGUGAAACAUGCUGAACUGCAGACAGACAAAAAAAAAGGUGCUAGUUGAAUCUCAAAAGCAGAUUUAGUUGUUACCCUGUGUCAUAUUGUUAACAUUGUUUUGAACGAAGGUAAGGCUUGAAUGUAGGUUUGUGUGAAAAUUUAGUUGAUACACUUUACUUUGUGAUUUUAAUUAUGCUCUUAUGGUCCUCAUAACUUUUUUAUUUUACUUUAGAUUGUCAUGUGUUAAACCAAGAUAACAUGUAUCCUGUCCUUAUCAGACUCACCUGUCUUUUUACUACACAUGCUCCUGGUGUUUUCUGCUGCAAACUCAGCAAAAUUUCAAUCAGUGAAACCUGGUCAGUAGAAACAAAGUGUCGCAUCCCUUAAAAGUUGAAUUAAACACACAGAAACACAGACCUUUUUUUUUCAUAGUCUCUAGUCUAUCAUAGUCUCUUUUUUAUAGUUGCUUUAGGUUAUUAAAACCUUGUUGUGGGAAAGAGUGUUGAAGCACUCGAUGCUCAAAAGACAAUAAGUGGUUUGUGGAUUGCACAUAAUAGGCACACAUUUAUUGUGAGAGCGGUGAAGUGGAAGGAAAAGAGGGGGCAGAAAGAAAUCCAAAGGUAGAAUUAAAGCAUGUUUAUUUUUAACUCUUUAUAUUUACUCCACUUGUAUUUUUGCGCUGUAGUUUACUUUCCAGUAUAAGUCUGAUGUAAAGUAUAUCACAUUAUAUGGUUAAUUAUCCUGUUUUUGUCCUUUUCAUUUUGAUAAAUCGAAAAGGUCUAAGGGCUUUAUUGUGUAUAAUAGCUCUAUAGAAAUGAAACGUGACAUUUAUUUUGUAGAGCAUUUACAACCUGAUUUAAAAAAAGUUUAGUUAACAAUGUUACAUGUUGUAAAAAACAAUUUUGAUUCGUAAAUCCUUUUAACUCAAUAUUCAUUUGAAAGACGUGCAAAGACAACAUAAACUGAAACUAAGAGAAAUAUUUUAUGAAAAAUACACACUCAUUUUAGAUUUUUGGAGCAAGAAAAUUUUUGAAAAAAUGUAUGAUGCUAAAAGACAUGCUGAGGAAAAUUUUGUAAGAUAAAUUUCCAAUAUGACUGGGUAUCAGAGGGCGUUACAGAGGGGCUGAAAAAUAAAGAUGGGGAGAGGUUCACCUCUUUGCGAGAGACUGUGAGAAAAUCAACAAUAGAAUAAUGUUACAUAGAGUAGAAUUUUAAAUGAAUUAGGGAUUUUGUCAUCUACAGUACACAUCAUUGAAAGAUUCAGAGUAUCUGGAGAAAUCUUUGUACAAAAGGGAAUAGGCUAAAAACCAGAACCAGAGGGUCUCGAUUAUUGGGCCUGCAGGCGGCACAACAGUGUAAAUACAGACAUCCCUCUGAAGUGGAAAUCUCUGCAUGAGCUCGAAUCACUUCCAAAAACUGUGUCUGUGAACACUGUUUAAUGCUUCAUUCACAAAUGCAGGUUCAAACGAUGCUAGGCAAAGAAGAAACCGUUCAUAAACAUUCUUGAGAAACACCUCUGGGUCCAAGUCUUUGAGGUGGUAGAUCAUAACUAAAAUUACAACACAGUAGACCGGGAAUCCUAAACCUGGCAAGAAUGGGACCACAUUUAACCUUCAAACUCCAGAAACUGAUCUCAUUGACUCCCAAACAGUUGAAGAGUGUUGUCGAAAAGAAGAAGUGAUGCAACACAAUGGUUAACCUGUCACUGUCCCAGCUUCUUGGGACGUGUUACUGGUAUAGAAUUUGAAACAAGCGCAUAGUUUCGAAUACAUUUUUUAGUUUUAACAUUUGUACAGGUAGUCUCUUUUUAUGGUAUUUUCAAUCCCCAUAUGGUUUAAACAUAGACUGUAUAUAGAAUGAACAGUGUCUGCCUCCUCGCUGGGUGAAGCCACUCCGAGAACAGCACCCUCUGGUGACGGGCUGCGGUAUAGUUCAUAUAGCCCACCUCCUCCAGCAAUCCCUAUGGAGCUGUGGACAAACUUUAGAAAUUAAUUACACAGGAUAUAAAUUUUUCUCCCCCCUGCUUGCGAUGUUGACAUGUAGUUAUUGUAAGACUGGUUUGUGCUCAAGUCCUCUUUUUUCUGUGCAGCUCCGUAUUUAAAAGUUAUUAGGGGGUUCAUGUUUUCUAUGAUUAACACUUGAUACAGCCUAUGGGCAUACAAGGAUUGCGUAGCUCGACCGGGGAUACGCUGUUUGAGCCAAGCGUCAUCACAGCGACUCUCUGUGACUCUCCUACCGAAUGUGUACAACCUUACUGCGCAAUGUUGGUUUCAGGAAGUGGAGAAAAAAAGCAGAAUUAACAAGAGCUUUUUGGCUUCAAAUCUGUAUAUUGGCGGAAGGCGGAACCAAGUUGUCCAGAGUAUAAACACUCUGUGGGUUUAAAUGAUUUGCAAAGUAUCAAAUUCUGUUUUAACAUUUUACAAGGCGCCCUGACUGCUUUUGGAACUACGAUUGUACCAAUACAGUGACUAAUUGAAUUUCCCUUCAAUGAAGUUCUUCUUUUAAUUCUUCUUCUUCUUCUUCUAAUUCUUCUAAUUCUUCUUUGUCUAAUUCUUAUUCUUUCUCUACUCCUUCUACUCCUUCGUCUUCUAAUUCUUCUUCUUCUUCUUCUUCUAAUUCUUCUUCUUCUUCUAAUUCUAAUUCUUCUUCUACUUCUUCUAAUUCUUCUUCUUUGUGAAAAAUUCGGGCAGUUCAAAAUCAAAUUAUGGCAUCAAGAAGGGAAAAGGAGCAUCAGCAACCAAAAUAUAAAUAGAGGAAAAAAACAUAUGACGUACACACGGUGAUCAAAGUUUGUGUGUGUGUUUGUGUGGUGCGUGUGUGUGUAUGUGUGCAGCCUUUAAGAUGCAGGGUGGAUAGACAGCAGCAGCAGAAGUCAUUAUGUGUGUGUGUGUGUGUGUGUGUGUGUGUGUGUAUCUAUAAUUAAUAGUGCAGAUGAUGAGGCCUCAUGUAAUCUUCUGCAAUCCAUCAAACACCAAGCUGACAGUCGAACAAUACACAGCCCAGGGAGGGGUGUAUAGAUGAACAUGCACGCACAUACACAUGCAGUACUACACAGACACACGCACACAUGCAUACAUAACAUGAUGUAAACAGAAUUUAUGUCAGAGAGAAAUUUUGAACUUUUACAUUUUCUCCCCCUAAUGAAGGGUUUCUGAUUUAAGUGACGGCUAAGUGUGUAACAUUGUUGGUUCAACAGCUGCAAAGAGAAGUACAAAACGGACCAAAAACUGCCUCUAAAAACAUACAUGCACACACACACACACAUGCACACGUACACACACACUCAGCAGCUAGCUUUAUGCAUUUCAAAUUUUCAGCUCCAGUCCUUCAUCUGAGUGCAAUUACAGCAACGGUUUGAAAACAAAUUGAUGGUGCAAUAAAUAGGUUUUUCUUGCUUUUAUACGAGAGUACAUUUUUCAUAAUUUCUACCGAGAAAUAGUUCUUGCAAUGACGUGCCAGCUGUGAGUCUGAAUAGACCUGUAUUGAUCGGAAUAAGUGUGCGAGUGUACAGGUGUCUCUGUGAACCAUCAGUUGUUGUUGGUGGCGGCGUGUGCAAGCCUCAAGGCCUCUCAGCUAUCUCGCUUACACACACACACGCACACACUCACACACACUGGCUGGCACCCUGCUCUGCUUUUAGAGCCAUUACUGUCAAACAGCUGUUAGCACGUCAAGAGAAGUGGUGUUGAUGGGAGAGAGCGAAGGAGGGGGAGAGGCUGAGGGAUAAAUGGUCAGGGCCAAUAGAUAGAUAGAUAGAUGGACGGAUAAUUGGGUGUAGAGGAGAGAGGGUGGGGUGUGAGGGAUGAAGUGGUGUAUGGAUGAAUAGUAGGGUGGGGGGAGGGAGAGGGAGGAGAAGGGAUGGGGUGCAGGGCCCACUCUAAGUGAGGACAGAUUGAUGUAGGUGUCAGAGAGGACUCUAGAGAGGAACAGCCCUUUAUUUGACAGUCAAUUAUCAGAUAGACCCAGUGGCCUCGCAGUCCACGGCUGUCACCCUCAUACAGUACGUAAGUGGGUCUCAAACACUGGUUCGGCACCCAGAGCUGGACGGCUGAAAGAUUAAUUUAGGCCUGAAAAGAAAAACGGUGGUUUUAGGUGUUGAAGGUGUGUCAGGGAGAGUUUGUCAAAUUGUUCUGUAUCAUGUUGUUGGAGCGUCUCUGCUCUUUUUAUUUCCUACUGUCAGGAGACGGUCAAGAUAAUAGGAAAAAUGUAUAAAAAUGUUCCCAAAUAGAGACACUGAAACACAAGUUGUUUUACAAGAUCGGCUCAAAUGCUAGACAGAAUGAGUAGAUGCGCUUUGAGAAGGUGUGAGGUCACUUAGUAGCUCUUCCCAGUAGGAGAUAGAGACAAAGGUGAAGGAUGGAGUAUACAGCUUUGAACACAGCAUACCUAUUAAAACUUUUGAUAAAUAAAAAUCAUAUUAAAACACAACGUACCACAAAAAGCCAAACAAUAACAUGAUAGCACAACAGUGGUCAAGGUGAAGCCCAGUUGCACAGCGUAGACUAAAAAGUGAUCACAAACAUAUAAGGCCUAGCUUGUGUGAUAGUAAUUUGAAGUAAGACUUUCACCUUAGAGCUCUAGUGAGAAUCUUUGGGUUGUUUCGGUUCCCCUGUGGACAAAGCGAGACAAUGCUCACUUUGCCGAUCCUGUCCUAGCAGUGUAGCAGUAUUUUCUGACCAAAAAUCUCACUUUAUUUAAUUUAAAUAUCUAAUAUGGAACUUUGCCACUGAAAUCAAAUUAAAGAAUAGUCCUUUAGAAAUAAUCACUCUUCUUUGUGAUUGGCUCCUUUGCUUCUGUAGGUCAAAUAAAGUCAUCAGAUGCAAUCUAAAUCCGUUAAACAAGCUCUUUAAAGAGCAUUUAGGGAAGUUUACAUGUCAUCUACAUGAACAGAUUUAUUUUGCCUGUAAACUUUAAACAUCUUUAAUUAAACCAUUCUGUUUUGAUGAGAGAGUUCAUCAUCUCUGUUUGAAUAGUGAUUUAUUACAAAGCCAUCGAUUUGUUAAAAAGUCUUGAAUUUGUCAUGUUGUCAUUGUUCAAAACGCAUUUUCUCAGUAGCUUUGCACCUGCUUGGUGGAUAUCACUUUCACUUUUACUGUGUUGUUGGACCUUACACCAACACAUUUUAGUUUUUAUGUAGUGUCACAUUUCACAUGUAAUAUGAUGACAGAUCCAACAUAGUUUCAGCAUCAACUUAAUGAUUCAGUCCCAAUGGAAAAAACACUUUUAAUCACAGCAUUAGCAGUAGGAGGCAGUAUUAUAAGAAAAACUUGAAUUUCCCAGAAGUCAGUAUUACUUAGGUACAAACUCAAAGAAGGAUACUCUGUGAAUAAAGCAGAAGAUUUUAGACUAAUAUGUAAGAAAACACAAAUUAUUCAUCAGUUCCUAAAAAAUGUUAUAUGACCAUAAAGAAUGUGAGAUUUUCUUCAGGAAUAUUUGGAUCCAUACUCCUGACAAAUCUACACAAACACUGAAAGCAAUAUUUUUCCUAUGUCGUCUCUCCAGAAUGUUGUUGCCAGUGCAGCAGGUCCUUUUAGUGCACAUGAUUAUUCUGUGCACUUGAUGGGGAUGGGAAAGUUUUGAAGCAGGCUCAGAGUGUGCAGGGCCCUUUCAGACAAGGUCAGGGGAGGUGUGUUGCUAUUGGCUAGCUGCAGCGCUUCAUGAUGAAGCCUCAUGUGUGCUAUUCAGUGUUUGGCCUUGAGCUGGGAUGCCACAGGCAAGUGCUAUGGAAAAAAAGACAAAUGUAUGCUGCUGAACUGACAUGAAUGCUGUCGGUUAAAACUGAUACAUGAAUAGGUAGAAUACAUAUAUAUACAGGACUAGUAUACAAUUAUAUCAGAUAUACAGCUUGUCUUAAUUUCUCCAGUUCUGUAAAACAUUAAACCAAAGGAGGACUGACUGGAAUUUUAGGGAAAAAUGGACAACAAAAACAAGCUGAAAUGUAGACAGCAAAUUUACUGCUCACUUACAGGUUUGUUAAAAAUUAAAUGCGUAAUUUAAAAAAAGGAGCCUGCAAAGAAAAGAUACUCGACUUAAGAAGUGUGAUCUCUUUAUUUUACUCCUGAAUUCUUUGAAUUAUAAUGACACAAGAAUUUUCAAGCACAGACAUCAAAAUUUUGACUUUUAAACGAGAAUACAGCUACACAGAUACAUCUCUGUUUUGAGUUAGAAACUGAUCUUGGUGACAUUUAGAGGAGCGUUGUGUAGAAAUAAAAAUAUUUGAUGAUAUCUAGCAGUCAGAAUCUGGAUUGACAUGCUCCCUUGCUCACCCCUGCUGUCCUCUUCCAGGACAAGAAGCUGCUCUGAUUCAUUCUGUGUUUGACCCUCAAAAAAGCAUCAUGUCAACAAAUACCUUUAAUGCAAUUUGCAUAGCUCACUUGCUAAAUGCAACAUGCAUGUUAUCAGUCUGUCUGCUCUUUGUUAUUGUUGAAAUAUGAUUGUGCAAGAUGGUGGCUACCAUAAAAAGGGACCCACUUUUUGUGGUUUUUACAUUUAGGUAAUGAUAUACUAAUUUAAAACCUUUAUUUAAUAUUCAAUUUCUACUAAGUUGGACCUAUUAAAAGCACCCAUGUUCUACUGACUGCACCUUUAAUGGCCAUAAGAUAUGGACUGUGAUGCUUUUAGACUUAUUCAACCAUAAAGUAUUCAAAGCUUACCUUCUUAGAUGCUUGACACGAGGUAGAAGAGAUUAAAACAUUAUCGUGUGUAAAACUUAUUGGAGGCACCAUGUAUGCAGAAGAAUGUUCAGUGCUGUUUGUGUUUGAUUCCCACACAAAGAUACUGAAGGAGAUUUGACUGAAAUAAACACAAGACAAAUGUAACAUCCCUAUUAGUCUCUGUCCAUGGUGCUGAAAACUAGGCAGCUACUGUAAACCCAAGACGAAAAGGACAGCAACCCAUCAGUGAUCAGUACAUGAAGUCUGGAUUUUUGUUCAACAGAACAAAAUAAAACCAGUAUCAGUAAUUUUCUCUUCUUUUUUGACAUGUUUUUAAUGAGGAUAGGUUGUACUAACUGGUAUGCGAACUUGUCCGUAGUCGAAUAAUGCGCACUCUGAAUGUGAUGCCAAAUCCUACAUGUAACACUAGCAUCCAUAUUUUUGAUACAGGAUUAUCCAGCCAAUAGGUUGAUAAUACAGAAUUCGAUUCAUUUUUCCAUUAGGAUAGAGUGACUUUGACUCAUUGAAAAGGUAUUUUUGUUUGAUGGAUACAGAGCUGUUAGUUUAGCCUGGUAUCUUUAGCCAACUCUUUCUAUUGUGUCAUUUUUAGUAUUGGUGGGGUUUUCUUUUAAUUCAGUUUGCAAUUUCAACAGAAAUACUCACAUCAGAUCAGAUCGGUUGGUCAUUCGUAUUUUUCUAUUUAGAAGCUAUUUUUUUUAACUUGAUUUAUUGGUAUGUGAGCAUUUUGGAACAACUCACUGUGUCGCUGUGAUUUGAAGGAAUGGUGCGUUUGUUUUCUAUUUUCCGUUUUCUAUUUUCAGUGAAUUGGAUCUUUUUUUUAAAGAUAGGAAAGCCCUGGAAAGUUCAGGCUUGUGGGUUCAAGGACCAAGUACCGGUUUCCACGCUGUACUUUUUGUUCACAAAACAUCAUCUAUGUUUUGACAUAGCUGUGGGAAAAAGAAACUAAACUCAACUUUAUUCUGUAUUUCCAUCGUACAAAGAAGAGCCGCUACUCCAACAAAACAGAGUUUAGAUGAUCAUCAGGGUGAAAACAUUUAUCAGCAGCUCAUUUUGAGGAGGAGAUCCAAUCAACGCCAUUUAGAAACACGACCAAAUGAGAUCACAAACACAAAGAUGCACCGUGUUUUGUCCUCGCAGCUUUGCAGGGUUAAUGUUCGUUUAUGCGGAGUCAAAUCAGCCGCUUCUAUACAUCAAACCCUUUAAUGGGUCUUAAUUGAUCUUGGUUCAUCUUCUCUUCGCUCUACCACUUUCUUGUCCUUGUGGAAAAAUUGUGUUGAGCUUCAUUAUUAGGUUCUUGCUCUCAUCUCCCACAGCCUCAGAUUUUUAUUUUGCGAAUCAGAGCUUUGUUUGGAUGUUUUAGCGUUUAUUCCUCCUGUUAAAUUUCCCUGGAUUUAUAACUUAAGACAAGAUUAAAAAAGAAAUAGUCCUUAUGAUAACCUGUAAUUAUUGUGUUCUUACUCUUCAACGAGAAGUGAAGCAGCGUUUCUAUCUCUGCUCAAAAUUUCUCUGUAAUUCUUCACUCAUAGUUCUGUCUCAUGUCACAUCAGCAGCUUCCUUUUCUCUGGUUUUGAUUUUUGUGCAAGCACUUGUUUGUUAUGUGCAUGUAUGCGCGUUGUGUGCGUGUAUUAGCGGCGUGCUAUCAGUGCCCCCUGCAGUAAAACCAAAGGGAAUAAAGAGACGAGGGAGCGGAGGGGGGGGGAGACACAGCAGAGGAAAGAUAGCAAGGACGUGUGAGAGAGAGACGGAGAACAAGAGGAUCGUUUUCAUUAUCUCCAGCACACAGAGGAACUUAAUCACACUCGUACAACAGAGAGAGAGAGGGAGAAGUCUUAUAGCUAAAGACUGCAGCAGCCUGUGCGCCGAGGUGCCUGCAACGUACAAACCGUACAGCAACGCUCUGGAAAUCUACACCGCUCAUACACGCGCACAAAAUACACACAAAGAAACACAAACCGAGGCUGCAUUGAGGAAUUCUUAUUUCUUAGAGAUGUACUGUAAUUGCAGCUGAAUACAAACCAGAGUAAAGCUCAUGCAUCUAAAAACAGACAAAAAUGGCUCCAGGUAACGCGAGAAAAGAAGCUGCAUCAGACUGAAGAAGGAUAAGAGUUAAAGUACAAACUGAAAUGAAAAGCAUUUAGGUAAUUAUCCUUAAUUUGCCUCGAAUUGCAGUAUCAGCUUAUCUGCAUUCGGCUUUGUAGUCUGCACGUAAUUUUUGCUCUCGUACCAUUCAACACUUGAACAGCUCAAUAAUAUUUCUGUGAAUUAAUUCCUCAUGUAUGAGUUUAAUGUAGUCCAAGGUGAUGUGUGGGUGUCGUGUGUCGAUGUAGAUCUAAGUUUUGCUUACAGUGAAGAAUGUACAUUUUUGUGAAGGCUAAAAGCUGCCUCGAAUAUAUUUUUGCUGCUGAAUGACUGUGUUUAAUGAGACUUAAGUUACAGUGUCUGAUAUUUGACAAUUAAAUCCAUCUUAUUUAUAUUUACAAAUUUGAAGAUGCAUACAUCCUUCAAGGAGAGAUAUUUCUGGCUUUUUAAGUGUGAAAAUCUAGUGAGUGAGAAUUUGUUUUUGUUGGUUCGUGUUCGUCUCAAAGAGAAGAAGAGUAGCUUUUGUUUUAAUAUCUGAAAUCAGCUGACUUUGUUAGUAAUUUUUACCUUUUCUUGUUCAGGAAGUAAAAUCUCUUUUUACUCUUGAAUUGUCAUAUCUCUUCAUCUCUUGACUCGUUGUGGCAAAACAAAAAACCUUUUUGAUUUGCUUAUUUACAUUGGAAAAAGAAGAAUCGCACAGAUUGCUUUUUCUCAACCUCGAGUCAAAUGUUUGUUUUAUUCUGACUAAACGCAUCUGUUUGUGAAAAUCUGGGAAUAAGACUUAACGAGGCCGUUGUUCCUUUUUGAGUUUUCUGAAAGCGCUGCGAAGCGUCAGCUGACAGAGUGAUCUGACAUAUAUAACGGAGUCUGUGUGUCAGAGACAGAUGGAGAUAUUUAUUGCCUGUUGAGAAAGCUGACUGUCUCUGAAGAAGAACAGUGUUCUCUAUCCUGUGUUUCUGGAAUUUUUUUGCAGCUAUAAUUAGGGAUAAAAAUACUAAAAUUGUUUAAAUUCACCAGGUACAGUUUAGAGACAAGACAGCCAAAGCCUAUCACAUAAUCAUCAGACUGCUGAUCUCUUUCACUCAGUGCAGUUCAUUUUUUUUCUCCUAUUUUUCAUCAUUCUGAAGGAAUUUCAUCACACAACAUGCAGCAAUUUAUUCUGAAAUAAUUGUGCAAAAAAAAGAGAAGAAUCUGUAAUUUGCAAUUUGCUUCAAAGUCCACAAAUCUGUGUUCAAUAAAAUCUGCUAUCAGUUAAACUACCCACUUUUUAUUUGCAUGCCCAAAAUUCACACCCUCAUAUGUUCAUUAUUCUCUCUUCUUUUGACCAGGAUUAGGAUUUUGAAGCCCCUUUUUUUAGGCUGUCUGUGGUUUUUGCUUUGAAGCAGAUCUCUCUUCUUCUGUCUCCGUGUCUGUUAAAGAAGCAGCUGCAGCUCCAAUAGAUGGCAUCACAGCACUAGACUUCAGUCAUCGUCCUCAGUGCUCAGCUCUGUUCUGCUCUGCCGAGCUGUACUGUGCGUUGCUUUUUCAUGAGCUACACAGCCCCAGCUGUGGAGCAGACUGCGGUUAUGGUACACUGAGACGUUCUCUAUUUCAAGUUUAAAAUCAGAAGAAUUUGGUCCUAGUUUUCUAGUUUUCCUCCUUAAAUGAUUAUGUUUCAAAUUAAACUCUUUAGUUUAAAUUAGUCCGAUUUGAAGUUAGGAAUACAUCUGCGUACAGAGGAGUUGAUUCUUAUUUAUGACAAUAAAUCCUGAGGCCCUGCUUUUAGAGACUGAUCCAGUUAAAUAGAAAAACAACUUAUGGACUCAUAUUUGAUGGUUAAAUCUGCAUGUGCUGGGAGGUUUCUGAAAUCAUAUUUGUUUUCUUUUUCCCACAAAAUUAAGAGAAAAUGUGAACUGCACAGAUCCUUUUUCAAAUUUUUAUUUUAUUUUUUACCAAUACUCGGUCUUCACGAACAAAAUCAGCCGCUAAAUUGAAUAUGACACAUAAAAUAUGGCUCCAUGUCAUGUCUAAUUUGCCUGCUAAUUUUAUUAUGUAGUGGCCCAUUGAAGCCAGUCAGUCCUGUAACUCAGUGUGAUACCGCUGACAGUUAUGACUCAGGAUUAUAACCUGUGUGUGUAUGAUGUGUGUGUGCGCGUGUGUGUGUGUACGCACGCUCAUGUCACCGCACCGUGUCUCUGUAAUCUGAUUAAUCACACUCCAUUAUACCUCCCUCAUUUGUCCCACAAUGCACAGCUUUAUAGGGAAUUAACACAGGUUUUUAUUGGCUCGUACAAUAAAUCAACAGCAGCACCUCUCCUCUCACACAAAAUAAUAUUAUUUGUCCGGCGUGUGAAAGUGUUUCUGUCAGGUUGACUUGAGAGCAGCCGUCCUUAAAUCUGCCGCUCUCGCUUUCAACUGAAGAUAUGUGUGUGUCACUUUGACUGCAAUGUGUUUUUGUGUGUGUGUGCGUGAGUCCCCUGCUGGUCUGUUUCACUGCAGACACUCCAGACAGGAGAAAAAGAUAGUCAGCUCGGAUAAUGGAGCGUUUCUCUACAGCAAAUGUAUGAAAAGGGGCUCCUGAAAUGACAAAUGAUUGUGGCCUAAAAACAGGCAGACACAGAGAGAGAGAGAAAGAGAGAGAAGAAAAAAAUGUAUUCAUUAGAAAUUACAUGUGGAUGGAAAGGAGAGGCAUGUUGGCUUUCAGUGCGGCUGGAUGUCGUGAUGUGAAUUUGUGUUUGGUUGCAUGGAGGGAAUGUGAAGAGACUUACAGAAGAGAGAGGGAAAAACAAACACAGGCCAACAUCUAUUUGACUAUUUUUCCCUCUAAUGCACACUGAUUUUCACUCAUCUUUAAAGGCCGCCUGCUGUCUAACAGACAAGAAUUCGUACUUUAUUUCGGAGUGAAAAAACACCCUAUUUGAUAUUUCUUCGAUUAUUUCUAUUAGAUCAGACCACAUCUUUAAAACGAUUCACAAUUAAGCUCAAAUUAUGUGACUCUUUGAAGCAUUGAUUUCUUAUACAGUACGUUUCACCAGAUUAGUACCUUUUAAACAUUAAAUCUGAGCAUUUGUGCAGCACUGUAAUAUCAAAAGAAGGUCUUUGUAUUUGUCUUUUUCCUCAGAUAAAGGUAUCAUAUCAAAAUGACAGCCGCUCGGUUUUAAUGCCCUUUUUAAUGUCAUUUAAAUCUCUAACUGUUGUGAGCAGACUGAUAAUCUUCCUCUUUGUGAUCUGUGGACUAAUGAGACCUCUCCUCUCUCGCCUCUUUGCGGUGAAGUCCCUGUCUUUAUGUCUUAACGCUGAAAAACACAAAGACUUGGCUGCAGUGUGGUGUGGCCUCAGUGGAGAUCUGUACUGACCAUGGCUUCAUGGGAGAAAAAAAAUGGACAAAAAGGAUGAUAAAGAGUAAAAAAAAGAUGGAGAGAAAUAACAGCUGUAGCAGAACCAGUAAGAGGCUAUUAUUUUAGCUAAUUAAAGAGAUGUAGAGAGGGGAAAAAGGUUUGAGUCUAGCUGGUUGGACCUUGGCGUGCACAAGGGAAAAAAGGAAAAAUGCAAUCACAUCUUCGCUGCACACCUCCACAGAUAUGUCUCUGAUUAGUACAGAGAGUAAAACGUGGAAUAAUGUGACGCACCAGACAAGAGGAGGGAGACCUUUAGAGGAGAGUGUGGAGAAAAAGAGUCGAUGCUAUCCUGCUCAGCGUAAAGGUUAGGGAACGGCCUCAGCUGCUUAGCGUGAAUACGGAUAUUAAUACACGUGUAGAAGUAUUUUAAUUGUAGAGAUAAAGAGAGACACCCAUGACUAUAUUUUUCACUCUUUCAGUACAAAAAAAAUAUUAAAACUCAAACUGGUGUUGCUGCCAAUUUGGGGCUGAUUCGAAAAAUGACAAUCACAACAAUACCACCUUCAAAAAAUGCAGAGCGAAAUCCUUGUAUAGAUAAUGUUGGUAAGAUAUAAGUUAUGAAUGAUGUAGCUGUAUGAUUCCAUGACGUUUUAGCAGUUUAGCAAAGCACAAAAAAAGGAAAUCAGUUUAUUGUGAUCGGUACAAAAACAGAGGAAUGUUUGGACUCUCAUGGAUAAAUAAUCUGAGUGGUUUUUAACAGGCGCUUAGGUUUUUUUUAAUAGGCUCAAGAACGGGAUAAUUUCUCUUUAUUGUCAACAAGCCCAAAAGUGCUUCAAACACUUCUUAAUAUUACAGCACUUAAAACAAACACAGUUUUCAAAGCAGACAGUGAAGCCGCUAACAAAAUGAUUUAGAUGGUUUAAAGCUACAGUUGACAUAAACAGACUCAGCGUAAUUUUCUAAUGUAGUCCCUGCAUAUACAGAUAUGUUUUCAGACAUGAACUGCUGUACCUCAUAAGAACGUAUACAAUCCCCUAAAAAACAAAAACAAAGAUACAGAAAAUAUGGAAAAGAAAACACUGAGACAAAAUCAGAUCCUUCAGAGAAUAUAUACAUAGUAGAUUGUCUUGAAAAUAGGAUCUUAAUGACACUUUUAAAUGGAUGACAAGUCCGUUCCCACUGAGCAUUUUUUGGUCUAAAAGAGGUCUGAUAGACGUCUAAAUCUAACCUAGACGACUGGUGUAAAAUCAGGCUACCACAGGUCAAAAAAAUGAAAGUUUUUUAGAUGUCUAAAUUUAGACCAAGUCUAAAUCUGGGCUGUAUCUAUACCACACUGUAUUUUGCUCAAAGGCCAUCAUAACUAUUUUGGUUAAGUACUUGGAGAUCAGUUAUGUUACUUUUUGAAAUAAAUAGUUAUUGAAUAACGGGUUAAAGUGCAACGUCUCAAUUCCAUCUAAAAAUAAACUGAAUCUAAACGGUUGAAAUAAGGUCUAAAAAAUAUAUAUAUCUAGUGGGUUUAAUACAAUUUUCAUACCUGUAGGACAAAGUUUAUGAUAUUAUAUAAAGGCGGCUUAGAGGUUAGUCAGCUGUUCUAGAAAUAUUUCUUUAUAAAAAUACAAUAACUGUUUGAAACACUUCAAUAAUGAAAUAAAAAAAAGUUUCAUUUCUGUGAUCAAUAGUGUUGGUGUCAGUUAUAGUGUCUAAUUGGUCCCUUUUCUUAGGCUAUUGUAGCCCUUCGUUUCAUGUCCGUCCUUCAAAAAUACACAGAACUGAAAAGAUGUAUACAACGUCUGUAAGCUAACGAUCACUGUGUUGGCAUUCAUGUCACUCCUUCAUCUUGUCAACUACUUUUUCCAUCCUGAGGACUCCGACAGUAAGUGCUCUCCGAGUUUACAUCUGUUUUAGCCUUCUGUUCUUUUCCAUCUCUGCAUUUCUCUCAUUCUUUUCAUCAGUCCAACCAUCCUGAGAGGCUCGCGGUUUUUGACUCCCUCCUCUUUUCUAUCUUACAUUCCUGUCAUUACAUCCUGUGCAGACCAUUACAGCUCCUGUCUGAAGGUUACCUUUUAUGCUAGGAUUUAUUCCCACAAUCAUCCCAUCAACUUGUUUUAACUUUGUGCAUAUCGGUUUUUGUUUUUACUUUGUACGUUAAAAUGACAUCUUUUUUGGUAACAGAUUCCCAAAAAUGAAGAGACAGUGAUAAUCCCAUCUCCAUGAUUUUAGGACUUGUUAUUCAUUCUGAGUCAAGCACUGAGAUUGUAUUGGUCGUGUUUGUUCUUUUGGUAUAAGAUUCUGGCUAAACCUUCAGUUUCUAUCAAAAGCUGACACAUGCUCACCUGCGUGUGCGCGUUCAAGUGCUGUGUUUGGUAGCAGUUCCUGCCAGGAUGCUUAAAGAGGAGCUGCAAAUAGAUUUUUGUAAAGGGGACCGGCCUUGGUCCCAACUCAGAGUCUUCCUCUGUGAUCCAAACUUAAACAAUGGGGACUGGUGACUUGACUGAGAUUCAAGGUUGAUUUUUUUUUUUUGAAAUCUGAAGCCCAUUCAUAAAGGGACGAGUAUGAAGCAAAUAAACACUAAAAUAAAUGUUACCUAAGAAAAUUUGCAAUGCUCUUUAAGCAUUCAAAUCACACAAAAUCAGUUGCAAACACAGUAAGAUAAAUAGUCUAAAAAAAGACUAACCAUCAUAUGAAAUACAUGUUUAAAAAUAGUCUGACUCAUGAGUGUUUUUAUGGGAUUUGUCAGUGGUAAUGAAAACACAGAGCAAACACUUCCCUCAGCCUUUAGAGAGAGUGACAGGGUUCAUUGUUCAGGGUGUUGAAAUGACAACAGGAGAGUCAUUUUAUAAUGAUGUUAUGUCAGCGUUAGAUAAUUGGAUUAGCCUGAGCUACAUUAAGGUAAAGUGUAUUAAAUGAUUUCUGAUUUCCAUCUGCUUGGUGAUUUCCUCAUGUAAUAAAACACUGCCUCCAAGCAUGCCUGUAAACACGCACACUCACUCACUUACACACACACACACACACACACACUCUUCACACACUAUCACAGGCGACAUGAGUGUGUGCUCUCAUACACAUUUAAUGUAUUACUCGCAGAUCAAAUACAGGCUUCCCACCUACUUCCCUCCCCAGAGAGACUGAGUGUGUGUGUUAUUAACCCCAACACCACUGCUGCUUGUCUGCUGGCAUUAACCCCAUUAUCCUCUCCUCCUCCUCCCCCCUCCACUCUCCUCUUCUCCUCUUGUCUUCUCUCCUCUCUCUCCUGCUGCAGCGAUGAAGUUCAAUGGGUGCAGUUUUCCUCUUUUCCUCUCUUAUACACUCAUUCUUUCCUCGUUUUCUCGCUCCCUCCAUCUCUCCACAGUUGGCAGUGGCAGAGGUUAGACAAGCACACCCUGUCCCUCCCUCCUUCCCUCACGGGGUCCCAGAGGUGCUUUCUGCUUAACGAGGCUGGAUAUCUGUUUCCUAAAAUCAAUCGUCUGUCUUAAACGAACAUCCCCGACCAUCUGCUUCGGGGUUUACAUACACACACACACGCACACACACACACACACACACAAGCACGCCCACACACUGUCUCACAGGAGCUUCAAUCCCAAUAUUUGUUGUGUGUGAUCCAGCAGACUCCUCAAGGACCCCAGAGAGCCAAUGUAGGGGUCCUCCAGGGGCCCUCUCAAACUGCCUGAAGCUAGGGCCUCAUACUUGGCCCUGCUCCCUCCCUCCCUCCCUCCUUUCUUUCUUCCUGUCUUUCUUCUCCCUCUUUCCCUCUGUUGCUUUUCUGUUUGAUUAAUCUCUAAAUCUGUGUGACACAUGGAUGAGGCUCUGCCAGAGAACUGUGUGUGUGUGUGAAAAUGUGUGAUUGUGUAUUUGUUAAAAAAAGAAGUGAAAUGCGCAGCUAAUCCCUUUAGCAAGCUGUUGCAUGUGUUUGGGUGGUAACAGUGGCAUGAGAAGACCUGUCGUUGAAGAUCUCACAUCUUUGUACGUUACUCUCGCCCGUGUUGACUGGGUGACCUCUCAGCUCUUUGAUACUCCGUCUUUGAAAGUACAACUCCACGUUGUUUCAUCACUGUGUAAAAUCAUGACAAAACAGGUAAUUGUACUUAAUAAAAAAAUACUUUCUACAACAACAUACCAAUAAUUAAAGUUUUACCUCUUUGAAAAAAAUGUAAGUUUAGGGCCAUUGUAAUAGGACAAUUCAUCAUCCUACAUUGUGAACACACAUGCAAAUCAGCACCUACAGUAUAUAAACCAUGAGUACAAACUUGUAAUGUGUGCAGGGUCUCAUUUCACAGUAAAAAACACUGAAAUCUUCUAUGCAUUACACGCUAUAGCAUCAAACUUUCAUUUCAUCACAGAUAAUUUUGACUUACUUGGUCGAUGUAGCUGGCAGCUAGGGCUAUAAGACUUGUGUAUUUUAUGCAUUGUUUUUAGCAAUGGUGGGUGCAGAGGCUGAGAGAAAAUUGUGUUUUUUUACCCAUUAUGUUUGAUUGAAUACUCUAGUAAGAACCCUUAUGGUCAUCUGUGACACGUGCAAAGACAUUUUUAAAGAAAUAUUCUGGUUGUUGAAUUAAAGAAACUUAAGAUUAAGUCAAAAUGCAGGAGUAAUGUAAAAUUAUGAGCUUUAGUUUAUCAAAACUAAUCGUCAAAUUCCAACAUAGUCAACGAAGACCCGCCAGUUUCAUCCCUAAAUAGUUGGCAUCGCUCUUUUAAUCUGGUAUCGCUUAAACCCCAGAUUCCUCCCCCCUCUUCCUCCCUGUCUCUAUUGUAUUCCCGUAUUCCCUUGUCUCCAACCCCCCCUCUUCAGUAAUUACACCCAAAGUCAAAAGAUGGUCCUGUCAAUCAAAGACUCAACUGUCACUUUGUCUGCUUUGUCUCUCACAUCUCUGUCUGUUUCUGUCUCUGCUGAUUUCAGGCUGCGCUGUCACAAUAGUGCAGAGCUGUUCAUGCGUUCAUCAAUGUCUCGUGUUUGGGUUUUUCCACGUACAUGCUUUUACGGGCUUGUUGGCUAUUGGUCUUAUUUGUUUUGUUUAAUCUUUAACUGUAGAUUUAAACAUUUGAAACAGAAAGCCUUAACAUGUGUCCACAAUGGUAAAACGGACUAUAGAAAUAACUCGAUGGAUGCUUAUAUUGAGGCAGUGAUACCAUUCACAACCAUACCCUCUUCUAUUGUUGUUCGGCAUUGCCAGAUAUCGAUAGGUUAUAAAAGGCAGGAGGAAAGCAGCUUGGUAACAACUGAAGAAUAAGAGAUGGCUGAAGUAAAUGUAGGAACAGAUUUUCAAUGAAAAACUGAUGUUCAUCUGCUAUUUGCAACUUUUUGGGCAAAGGAGAGAAGACAUGUUACUUACCACUCGGGGAGGGCUGGGCGAUAAACCGAAAAUUUACUGAUACUGAAAUUUACGACAAUAACCAACGCCAUUUUUCCCAUAUCAGUAUAUUUGGUGUCAAAAAAAUAAAUAAAUAAAAGUUGUUUUUGGAUGUAUGUAGGUAGACUAUGGUCUCAUGUCCCUUUAAGACGCUGUCCUAUGUCAGAGACAUGACUCCACCCCAUCCAGUCCGUAACAAAGAGGGAAAAACAGGUUAGGAGAUUGAGGACGGUUCAAAAGUUGUAGUGGCUGAAGUAGAUGAAGUUAAUGAGGGAGGGGGUGAGCAGCUUGUGGAGUAGUUAUCGUACAUUCAUCAUUAUCGGGGUGAACUGCUCAAUAUAUCGUGAUAUUGAUUUGAGGCCAUAUCGCCCAGCCCUACACUCAGGGUAUUGGUGCAAAAACAAGUUAACUGUGAAAAGACAUCAAGACUGUACAGCUAGUAAGAACAAUCAAACGUUUAUUAAUCAAAGAAUUAAAAAUUGACAUGUAAUUUUUUUGCCAUAAAUCCCUGGCCGGCUUUGAUAUCUGAUUUUUGACUUAAGUUGAGACAACGUUUUCUCAAAGAACAGUCAAAUGGAGGUCACAGAUCAUUUCAGUGAGGAUGCCUUGCACAGUCCUUAAAUUUACUCUUGGUGUGUAAGUUAAACAGACAAAAGACACAGUGAGGAAAUGCUGUCAAAGUGGGAAUCCCUGUUCAGAUGUCACAGGUCAGCCUGUUUUAUAGUUUCAAAUUACUUUAAACUCUACCAAAGUUUAGUUCUUAUGUUUGUUAUCGAUCAUUUCCCAAUAUCAUUGAAAAAGACCAGAUAUUAGAGUUUAUAUUAGAGUAUGUAACCAGUGAGAUGAAUGUCUUCCUGGCUAUUUCUAUAUAUUAGGCAUGAAUAAACACACACUUUCACACACAUGAACACACACACACAUGAACACACAAACAUACUUCCAGUGAUUGAAGGGCUAAUAGGGUUAAUUGUCAUGUAAAACCAUCACUGCAGUCAACUUCACGGCCAGUCACUCAAAAUCUUUUACACACACACACACACACACACACACACACACAGUCAUAUUUGCACACUCUCCCAUGGGAUCCCUCCUCGCCCAGAUGGCUUUUUUCCCGGUGGCUGUGUGCUUCAGUGUGUGUAUGUCUGUGUGAGAUCCUGGCAGGCCACAAGGGGCUUCGCGGUGAACAAGGCGCAUCUUCUCCGUCUAAUUAAUUUACUAUUAUAUAGCACCUGUUUCAGGCUAGAUAGAGCUGAGGGCACACACUCAGACACACACACACACACACACACACACACACACACACACACACAAAAUGAUGAAACAGAGAGGUAUUAGAAGGGGAGGUAGAGGGGCGGCACAGGGAUGGACAGAUGAGGAGAAAAUAAAAAUGAAGGGAGGGAGGAAGAGGUGAAGGAAGGAAGGAAAGGAGGGUAAAUGGAAAGACAAGAAGGAAGGGGGGAGGAAGCAGUGGGGGUAGGACAUGAAGGAGGGGGAGGAGGGAUUGAGGGAGGCAGUAAUAAAUGAGUUUUUGAACUGAUUAUAUUAAGCUGAUCCUUUGAUCAUGUUUAAGGCCUUAAAAUGGAAAUAUGUUUUCUCUUAAGGAGGGAGAAGAAGAAGGAGGAGGAGGGGGGAGGAGGACAGCUCAUUACAUGUGGAUACCAUUGCCAGUUUACUCAGUUUUAUUCCCAUCUAUUGAAGAUUGAACUCUUCAUCUUCACUACAUUUAAGCUAGUUAACUUUAUUGUCUUAUUUUUUGUUCACUUUUCUCUUUUCUGUGGACCCACUUUGUAUUUAUGGUUUAAAAAUGGGUAUAAAACAUAAAUAGUAACUAACAGAGGCUACACUUAACAGCACUUUCUUCAGCAGUAUUAUUUGUACAUCAGAAACCAUUUUGCUGAAAAGUACAGUCUGGUUUAAGAAGUUGUAGUUAGUGUUGUUUGUUUUUUAAACUGUGGUUUUGCAAAGUAGUUAGCUGGACAUAACCUUUGUAAAAGCUUUGCUCCAUUAUUAUCAUUACAGAGUUGACUGUUUGAUUUAAUAUUUUCACCUGAGGAAGUCAGCAUCAUUAUAAUGAGAUGAUUACACGAGUUAACACAGUUUCAAUAUCCCCAGGCCUGAAAUGCCAUACAUGUUGUGUCUUAGCUUUAAUGCAGUCAGCCACCACUUACCAAGUCUGUCUUACUCAGGUUAAUAAUGACUACUGCCAUAAUGCUCUACUCUAAGGAUGUAAACAAGCACUGCCGACACAUGGCAUCUGGUAGCAUCCAUUUUUCUCUGUUUGACAAAUCCAGGGAUUCUUUCAUUUUUAGUACAAAUAAGGUGGUGGACUCUAAAAUGGUUGAAGAAUAAAUUGUUCAAGCAAAGUAUUUGAUUUGGGCUCAAUAGCAAGCUAAACAAAUGUAAGACAGAUGCCUUCAAACUUGAAAUUAUCUUGAAAGAAGUUCGUAAUGAUGGUUUAGUGAUGAUGACUAUGUUGGCUGGUUGGCCUGUUGCUUGGCGGCAGGCCAUGUGACUGGGGCUAAAGGUUGGAUACAGGGAUCCUUUGAAGACCAGGCCUUCUCGAUCUACUCCACUCUAUGCGUUUUUUUUUUUAACAGCAAGUAAAUCAGUUGCUUUAAAACAUCCUAGGGUAUGUUGUUGUGCUAUUUAGUGCCUCUACUUACAGACCUGGACCACUUCCACUGUAAUGUCUGGCUGUUACUGUGUUUCUCUAUAAAAUUAUGCUUUUUUAUUUGCAUAGUUUCUAAAUUCGCAGUAGUUUCCUCCCUGUGGAGAUUGUUUGGGUCUCUGCUGCAUGUUUGUCGGGAACUGAGUGCCUGACAAAUUCUGAUCAUGUAAAGAUGCCGGGUUUGUUGGUCGUCAGUUAAUGCAGGUAAAGAAUGGGGCACAUUGUCAAGCAAGAGAAAAUAAAUGUAAAAUAUUGUUAACCCUGGUGCCUUACUUCUUACCAAAUGCACAUGAUACAUAAUUUAAAAGUAACUUCCCAUCCCAGAGCUGAAAGCACUUUAAUUAAUCACAUUGUGAGUUCUUUCCAUCUGUGGGAGCGAGUAAAAAUAAAGCAUCAGUGAUACAAGAACAACUCGGCUCCCAGUACAGUGAUAUACCACCACCUCAUCUCUCCCUCUGUCUCUUUCUGAGUUCAUUAGUUUCCAGACCGGUGCUCCUCCUGGAUUACCAUAACCUGUCAGCCGUGAAACACCACAAAACAAUUUUCAGCUUGUAAAAAAAAAAAAAGAGAGAGAGAGAAGAAGAAGGAGGGAGAAAAAAAAAUCAGCCCACCUCGCUCUGCUGCCUCUCACAGCCACAGGGAGGAGAGAGGGCGGGGAGGUUACGCUACCUGUAUGUUUUUCUAAUGAACACCACACUGAACUAAUAAAAACAUGUCAGCCAGGGAGAGAUGCUCAGUAGUAAAGGGGAGGAUGAAAACACCAGCAAGUGGAAUUAAUGCAGAAAAAUACCUGUUUCAGAUGGGUGAUAAUUCCUUAAAUAUGAGCCUCAUGAUUUCCCUGCUGUGAGCAGCUUAGGACGAGGUUGAGUUUGAAAGUCACACACUUUUGUUUAAACACAGUUAGUUUACUUAAUAGUCUACCCUUUUGUAUUUGAUCUGAUUAAAAAGAAGCAAAAACACUUCCCCCUGUAAAUUAAAAAUCUGAACCAACAGAGCAGACUGUUCAGACUGCUGCUGGUGCUUUCCUGUAAAUAUUGACUGAUUAUUUUCGGUGAGUUGUCCUUUUCUGCUUUCCAGUGCUGUGUUUUUUUCCUACUGGACAAACAUUGACAUGACCACAUACUGUGCAUGCACUGAAAAUUGGAAAAUUGAAUAAAAUGAACAAGACCUCUUUAAUAAUUUUGUGUAUUUAUGUCUUUAAAAUGUGCCAUAGAUCCUCAGGAGUUUAUAUGUCUGAUUAUCCCGUCUGAUGCUCCUUUCUCAGGCUGUCAGGCUACAGGAUACACGAAGGAUGUCACACACUCUGUUGGUCUGUCACUGUCUGUUUUCACGGCUGCUCCGGGUCUUCAGCGGGACAGUUUAACGUCCAAACAGUCACAAAGGCCACUGACCAGCAAAACAUCCAUCAUAUAGUGGCAGGCGCCGAAAGGAAGUGUCCACAGUGAGUCGAAGCAAUAAACUGCUUUUUCCCCUUUGGCUUUCACCUUCACAAAAAAUAGAUAUAACAAGUAAUAGGUUUAAAAAU
Xyrichtys novacula (pearly razorfish) is the source of this 29808-nucleotide non-coding RNA. Lineage: Eukaryota; Metazoa; Chordata; Actinopteri; Labriformes; Labridae. The record is from the annotation of a GenBank genome assembly.